AAGUCGUAACAAGGUCUCCGUUGGUGAACCAGCGGAGGGAUCAUUAUAGAGUUUUAUAAACUCCCAACCCAUGUGAACUUACCAUUGUUGCCUCGGCAGAAGCUACCUGGUUACCCUACCUUGGAACGGCCUACCCUGUAGCGCCUUACCCUGGAACGGCCUACCCUGUAACGACUGCCGGUGGACUACCAAACUCUUGUUAUUUUAUUGUAAUCUGAGCGUCUUAUUUUAAUAAGUCAAAACUUUCAACAACGGAUCUCUUGGUUCUG
RNAcentral lists this unclassified non-coding RNA (269 nucleotides) under air metagenome. RNAcentral's name for it is "partial contains small subunit ribosomal RNA, internal transcribed spacer 1, and 5.8S ribosomal RNA". The stretch from base 1 to 46 matches the Rfam family "Eukaryotic small subunit ribosomal RNA", at positions 1786 to 1831 of the family's 1831-position model. The record is from RNAcentral.